GCUCCUGGUAUAUUGUAUACUUACAUAUUGUGCAUUUCGUGUGUAUAUGUCAUAUAAUUUCUGACCACUUUCAUCAUUAAGUGCAGAUUUAAAAUAGAAGGACAAAAAUAAAAAUAUACAUUAUUUUGCAUAUUCUAUCCAUACUUUUUUACAGGUGUCUACAGAAAUGAUUUUAAAUAAUGUAAUAACCUUUUGCCUUAAUAUGUCACUUACUUAUUUAGACCAAAUAAUUUCAUUAAAAACUAUCCAGAAUGGUAUACAGAAUAUGGUAAAGAUUUUGACUUACUAUUCACUUUUAAUAUUCACAAUUAAUCUAACCUUCUAGAGCUAUCUUCAAGAAUUGCACAUGGCUAUAAUGAGUAAAUUUUG
RNAcentral lists this long non-coding RNA (369 nucleotides) under Mytilus galloprovincialis (Mediterranean mussel). Lineage: Eukaryota; Metazoa; Mollusca; Bivalvia; Mytilida; Mytilidae. The record is from RNAcentral.